This 73-nucleotide transfer RNA is filed under the name Neotoma lepida (desert woodrat). It matches the Rfam family "tRNA". From Rfam's summary of the family: Transfer RNA (tRNA) molecules are approximately 80 nucleotides in length. Their secondary structure includes four short double-helical elements and three loops (D, anti-codon, and T loops). The record is from Rfam by way of RNAcentral. Lineage: Eukaryota; Metazoa; Chordata; Mammalia; Rodentia; Cricetidae.
GGGAGUGUAGCUCAGUGGGUAGAGGAGUGCUUGNCUGGUGGGCAUGAGGCCCUGGGAUCCAUUCCCAGCACCA